UGGGGAGUCUUGCUCAAUGGGCGAAAGCCUGAAGCAGCGACGCCGCGUGAAGGAUGAAGGUCUUCGGAUUGUAAACUUCUGUUAAGUGGGAAGAAAGACUCAAGCUUAAUACGCUUGGGGGAUGACGGUACCACUAGAGAAAGCACCGGCUAAUCUCGUG
RNAcentral lists this ribosomal RNA (160 nucleotides) under uncultured bacterium. Its description in RNAcentral is "partial 16S ribosomal RNA". It matches the Rfam family "Bacterial small subunit ribosomal RNA", at positions 355 to 507 of the family's 1533-position model. The record is from RNAcentral.